AGAGUUUGAUCAUGGCUCAGGACGAACGCUGGCGGCGCGCCUAACACAUGCAAGUCGAACGAGAGAGAAGGAGCUUGCUUCUUCGAUCGAGUGGCGAACGGGUGAGUAACGCGUGAGGAACCUGCCUCAAAGAGGGGGACAACAGUUGGAAACGACUGCUAAUACCGCAUAAGCCCACGGGUCGGCAUCGACCUGAGGGAAAAGGAGCAAUCCGCUUUGAGAUGGCCUCGCGUCCGAUUAGCUAGUUGGUGAGGUAACGGCCCACCAAGGCGACGAUCAGUAGGGGUUCUGAGAGGAAGGUCCCCCACAUUGGAACUGAGACACGGUCCAAACUCCUACGGGAGGCAGCA
Molecule: ribosomal RNA, 350 nt
Filed under: uncultured bacterium
Lineage: Bacteria
Description: bacterial SSU rRNA
Rfam family: Bacterial small subunit ribosomal RNA
Source: RNAcentral